UUAAAAUGAUAUACAUACACUCCAUUUAAAGAAUGUCCAAUAGUUUAGUUUUGAAGCUAAGAAAUACAUGUUUAAUUGAACUGAAUACACUUUACUUUCCAGAUGGAGAAAUUAAUUAUUCUACUGCUCUGGUUACAAUAUGUUGUUAAGAUCUCCAAAAAUUUCCAUUAUAUACCAGUGAAUAAACAAACAACAGAAGUUUUAAUCGAAUGGGAUGAAUUUCCUAAGGGAGGAAAUCCUGAAUUUUAUUUUUUUAAAUAUCAACGUGUUAAUGAUUUUGCUCGAAAAGAUGUAAAAAGUAUUCUCACAGACUCACAAAGACAUCAGAAAUUAAUAAUAACACUAAAGGAAAAUGAAGAUUAUCACAUCAUUUUACAGUCCAUGAGAUAUGGACAAAUUUUAAGUGAAAAGUCAUUUCAAAUUCGUAAGUAAUGUAUAUGUUGAUCAGCUAUGUCAACUUUCAUUACCAGAUAAUUUAAAUUUUACAAUGAUUAACAGGUAUAUAAUGGUACUGUAAAAUUAUAAUAGUAUUAUUUUUUUAUAUAACGCAAAUCUCAGAAUUUAAAGAAAAUUAUAAACUAAGGUAAGAAUAUAGUUUUCAGUUUUGACAUUUUGUGUGUACUUGUAUGAAUGGAUAGGUAGAGUGGAGAUUUUAAGUGUUAUCCAGAUUAUGUAAAAAAUAUAAUGUGGUUCUGUAAUCUAAUUCAUUCAUUCUAUGUAGAAUAGAAGAAACUCCCACAUAGUCUAGA
This 749-nucleotide long non-coding RNA is filed under the name Papio anubis (olive baboon). RNAcentral's name for it is "lncRNA (ENSPANG00000038546.1)". The record is from RNAcentral. Lineage: Eukaryota; Metazoa; Chordata; Mammalia; Primates; Cercopithecidae.